UUUUACUAUCCUCUUGGGGACGUGUGUGUGUGUGGUCUUGUUUUACUGUCCUUGUGGGGACGUGUGUGUGUGUGGUCUUGUUUUACUGUCCUUGUGGGGACGUGUGUGUGUGUGGUCUUGUUUUACUAUCCUCGUGGGGACGUGUGUGGUCUUGUUUUACUGUCCUCGUGGGGACGUGUGUGUGUGGUCUUGUUUUAAUGUUCUCGUUGUCAUGGUCAAUACUGCUAUCAUCUAGUGUAUAAGCUGCUUCAGACUGCAUGCCUCUGUAGCUCAGACCCCUCUUGUUUAUGACUUUAACAACAUCUAUAAUGCGCUCCAGCACUUGCCUUCUUCUGCGUACUUGCUCUCCAUGAGCAGACAUCUGACUGCCGAUGAACAGGCCCUCAAUGUUAACUUCAGGGGACCUUAAGAAAGUAGGCCUCGGCAUAACCUCUAUGCAUAAUGCUGUUCUCAUUCUCUUCCACUCUGAUGGAUAUGUUUCCAGUCUGCUAUUCUCUGUGGACUUUGCAAAUGCCAUACAAAUGAAUUAGAAUAAAGCAUGGUUCUCUUCACUGUAUGACAGCUACUUCCUGUUGGUCCCAUCUUUACAAAAGAAAACCUUCUGCACCACAGACUUUUCACACUUUUGUUGGAGGUGGAAACUAAAAAACAUAUCUAUGUCCCCUGACUUCAGCCUCAGUGGCAGUGUCAUCCUGGCUCUGGCUCAAUCUACAUCUGUCCACUGCAGAUGCACUAUCCUCAACCUGGAUGAGAAAUUUGUAUAAAUGUGUAUAUUAGUAUAAUAUUAUAACAUUAUUAUAUUAACAUUUAACUUUUUAUUUAAACUCAGUAAAAGUCCUCUCACUGUCAACUGCGUUUAUUUUCAGCAAACAUAACAUUUGUAAAUAUAUGUUUGAACAUAACAAGAUACAACAACUGAGACAUAAACUGAACAAGUUCCACAGACAUGUGACUAACAGAAAUGGAAUAAUGUGUCCCUGAAAUCCGGGCUCUUCGUUGGCCAUGGCAGAACACUGACAUUCCUGUCUUGCAGGAAAUCACGCACAGAACGAGCAGUAUGGCUGGUGGUAUUGUCAUGCUGGAGGGUCAUGUCAGGAUGAGCCUGCAGGAAGGGUACCACAUGAGGGAGGAGGAUGCCUUCCCUGUAACGGACAGCGUUGAGAUUGCCUGCAAUGACAACAAGCUCAGCCCGAUGAUGCUGUGACACACCGCCCCAGACCAAAUCGAUCCCGCUCCAGAGUACAGGCCUCGGUGUAACGCUCAUUUCUUUGACGAUAAACGCGAAUCCGACCAUCACCUCUGGUGCGACAAAACCGCGACUUGUCAGUGAAGAGCACUUUUUGCCGGUCCUGUCUGGUCCAGCGACGGUGGGUUUGUGCCCAUAGGCAACGUUGUUGCCGGUGAUGUCUGGUGAGGACCUGCCUUACAACAGGCCUACAAGCCCUCAGUCCAGCCUCCCUCAGCCUAUUGCGGACAGUCUGAGCACUGAUGGAGGGAUUGUGCGUUCCUGGUGUAACUCUGUCAGUUGUUGUUGCCAUCCUGUACCUGUUCCGCAGGUGUGAUGUACCGAUCCUGUGCAGGUGUUGUUACGCGUGGUCUGCCACUGCGAGGACGAUCAGCUGUCCGUUCUGGUCUACAUUGGUGGCUAGUCUCUAGUUUGUUGAUGCUAAGUACUAACUUACCAUCCCUUGUGUGUGUAGUCUUGUUUUACUGUGUGUGUGUGGUCUUGUUUUACUAUCCUUGUAUGUGUGGUCUUGUUUUACUGUCCUCGUAGGGACGUGUGUAUGUGAGGUCUUGUUUUACUGUCCUCGUGGGGACGUGUGUGUGUGGUCUUGUUUUACUAUCCUCGUGUGUGUGUGGUCUUGUUUUACUAUCCUCGUGGGGACGUGUGUGUGUGGUCUUGUUUUACUAUCCUCUUGGGGACAAAUUUGUGUGUGGUCUUGUUUUACUAUCCUCUUGGGGACAAAUUUGUGUGUGGUCUUGUUUUACUAUCCUCGUGGGGAUGUGUGUGUGGUCUUGUUUUACUGUCCUCAUGUGUGUGUGUGUGUGGUCUUGUUUUGCUGUCCGUGUGUGUGUGUGGUCUUGUUUUACUGUCCUCGUGGGAACGUGUGUGUGUGUGUGGUCUUGUUUUGCUGUGUGUGUGUGUGGUCUUCUUUUACUGUCCUCGUGGGAACGUGUGUGUGUGUGGUCUUGUUUUGCUGUCCGUGUGUGUGUGUGGUCUUGUUUUACUAUCCUCGUGGGGACGUGUGUGUGUGUGUGUGUGUGAGGUCUUGUUUUACUGUCCUCGUGUGGACGUGUGUGGUCUUGUGUUACUGUCCUCGUGGGGACGUUUGUGUGUGUGAGGUCUUGUUUUAUCUCCUCGUGGGGACGUGUGUGUGUGAGGUCUUGUUUUAUCUCCUCGUGCGGACGUGUGUCAAAUCAAAUUGUAUUUGUCACAUACACAUGGUUAGCAGAUGUUAAUGCGAGUGUAGCGAAAUGCUUGUGCUUCUAGUUCCGACAAUGCAAUAAUGACCAACGAGUAAUCUAACCUACUAAUUUCACAACAACUACCUUAAAGGGAUGAAGAAUAUGUACAUAAAGAUAUAUGAAUGAGUGAUGGUACAGAACGGCAUAGGCAAGAUGCAGUAGAUGGUAUCGAGUAGAGUAUAUACAUAUACGAUGAGUAAUGUAGGGUAAGUGGCAGUGUGUGUGUGUGUGUGUGUGUGUGUGUGUGUGUGUGUGUGUGUGUGUGUGUGUGUGUGUGUGUGU
Long non-coding RNA from Oncorhynchus keta (chum salmon), 2748 nucleotides. RefSeq lists it as uncharacterized. Lineage: Eukaryota; Metazoa; Chordata; Actinopteri; Salmoniformes; Salmonidae. The transcript has 3 exons. The record is from RefSeq and is a predicted model, not a curated record.